Molecule: ribosomal RNA, 1487 nt
Filed under: uncultured bacterium
Lineage: Bacteria
Description: bacterial SSU rRNA
Rfam family: Bacterial small subunit ribosomal RNA
Source: RNAcentral
AGUUUGAUCCUGGCUCAGGACGAACGCUGGCGGCAUGCCUAACACAUGCAAGUCGAACGAGAAAGUUCCUUCGGGAGCAAUUAAAGUGGCGCACGGGUGAGUAACGCGUAGACAAUCUGCCCUUCAGUCUGGGACAACUUUUCGAAAGGAGAGCUAAUACCGGAUAACAAUGUUUAACAUAAGUUAGAUAUUUGAAAGCUUUAUGUGCUGAGGGAGUGGUCUGCGUCCCAUUAGCUAGUUGGUGAGGUAAAGGCUUACCAAGGCAACGAUGGGUAGCGGGUUUGAGAGGACGAUCCGCCACACUGGAACUGAGACACGGUCCAGACUCCUACGGGAGGCAGCAGUGGGGAAUAUUGCACAAUGGAGGCAACUCUGAUGCAGCAAUGUCGCGUGAGUGAAGAAGGCCCUUGGGUCGUAAAGCUCUUUUAUGGGGGAAGAUGAUGACGGUACCCCAAGAAUAAGCACCGGCUAACUAUGUGCCAGCAGCCGCGGUAAUACAUAGGGUGCGAGCGUUGUUCGGAAUUACUGGGCGUAAAGGGCGCGCAGGCGGAAUAGUAAGUCGGAGGUGAAAGCCCGGGGCUCAACCCCGGAGGGUCUUUCGAAACUGCUAGUCUAGAGAGGGUCAGGGGCCGGCAGAAUUCCUGGUGUAGAGGUGAAAUUCGUAGAUAUCAGGAGGAAUACCGGUGGCGAAGGCGGCCGGCUGGGGCCACUCUGACGCUGAGGCGCGAAAGCGUGGGGAGCAAACAGGAUUAGAUACCCUGGUAGUCCACGCCGUAAACGAUGAGCACUGGACGUCCGGAGGGUUCGACCCUUCUGGGUGUCUCAGCUAACGCAUUAAGUGCUCCGCCUGGGGAGUACGGUCGCAAGACUAAAACUCAAAGGAAUUGACGGGGGCCCGCACAAGCGGUGGAUUAUGUGGUUUAAUUCGAUGCAACGCGAAGAACCUUACCUGGACUUGACAUGUUAGUGACCCUCCGGUGAAAGCCGGAGUCUCCGCGAGCUUGCUCAAGGACACUAUCACAGGUGAUGCAUGGCUGUCGUCAGCUCGUGUCGUGAGAUGUUCGGUUAAGUCCGAUAACGAGCGCAACCCCUAUCCUUAGUUGCCAGCACGUAAUGGUGGGGACUCUAAGGAAACUGCCCGGGAUAACCGGAAGGAAGGUGGGGUCGACGUCAAGUCAGUAUGUCCCUUACGUUCAGGGCUACACACGUAAUACAAUGGGAAGUACAGAGGGUAGCAAAACUGCGAAGUGGAGCCAAUCCCAAAAAACUUCCCCAAGUUCGGAUUGCAGUCUGCAACUCGACUGCAUGAAGCAGGAAUCGCUAGUAAUCGCGCAUCAGCAUGGCGCGGUGAAUACGUUCCCGGGUCUUGUACACACCGCCCGUCACGCCAUGGAAGCCGGUAGCACCCAAUGUCGGUGUCCUAACCUUCGGGAAGGAGCCGCUUAAGGUGAGAUUGGUAACUGGGGCGAAGUCGUAACAAGGUAGCC